GUCCUAGCUGUAAACGAUGGGCACUAGGCAGUGGAGAUCCGAUGUCCUCACUGUCGAAACAAAUGCGAUAAGUGCCCCGCCUGGGGAGUACGGCCGCAAGGCUGAAACUCAAAGGAAUUGACGGGGGCUCACACAAGCGGUGGAGCAUGUGGUUUAAUUCGAAGCAACGCGCAGAACCUUACCAGGGUUUGAAAUGCACGGAUUAGCCUCCCGAAACGGAGGUGACACCCUUGUGGUGGAACGUGCACAGGUGUUGCAUGGCUGUCGU
This 268-nucleotide ribosomal RNA is filed under the name uncultured bacterium. Its description in RNAcentral is "partial 16S ribosomal RNA". It matches the Rfam family "Bacterial small subunit ribosomal RNA", at positions 793 to 1055 of the family's 1533-position model. The record is from RNAcentral.